AGCAGCCGCGGUAAUUCCAGCUCCAAUAGCGUAUAUUAAAGUUGUUGCAGUUAAAAAGCUCGUAAGUUGAAUUUCGGGAUUGACGUGAUGGUCGUGCCUUAAGGGGUAUGAACUGUUGCUGUUGAUUUCUCACCUUCUGGAGAAACUUGAUGUCCUUAAUUGGGUGUCUUGCGGAUCCAGGACCUUUACCUUGAAAAAUUAGAAGUGUUUAAAGCAGGCAUUUUUGCUCGAAUACAUUAGCAUGGAAUAAUAGAAUAGGACGGCAUGGUUCUAUUUUGUUGGUUUCUAGGAUCACCGUAAUGAUUAAUAGGGAUAGUUGGGGGCAUUAGUAUUCAAUUGUCAGAGGUGAAAUUCUUGGAUUUAUUGAAGACUAACUACUGCGAAAGCAUUUGCCAAGGAUGUUUUCAUUAAUCAAGAACGAAAGUUAGGGGAUCGAAGACGAUCAGAUACCGUCGUAGUCUUAACCAUAAACUAUGC
This 477-nucleotide ribosomal RNA is filed under the name uncultured Entrophospora. RNAcentral describes it as "SSU rRNA". It matches the Rfam family "Eukaryotic small subunit ribosomal RNA", at positions 569 to 1042 of the family's 1831-position model. The record is from RNAcentral. Lineage: Eukaryota; Fungi; Glomeromycota; Glomeromycetes; Entrophosporales; Entrophosporaceae.